RNAcentral lists this ribosomal RNA (554 nucleotides) under Phragmidium andersonii. RNAcentral describes it as "eukaryotic LSU rRNA". It matches the Rfam family "Eukaryotic large subunit ribosomal RNA", at positions 89 to 605 of the family's 3401-position model. The record is from RNAcentral. Lineage: Eukaryota; Fungi; Basidiomycota; Pucciniomycetes; Pucciniales; Phragmidiaceae.
UCGAGUGAAGGAGGAAAAGCCCAAAUUUGUAAUCUGGCUCUUUCAGAGUCCGAGUUGUAAUUUUGAGAACUGUUUUCCGUGCUGGACCAUUUCUAAGUCUGUUGAAAAAUAGCAUCAUUGAGGGUGAUAAUCCCGUUCAUGAUAUGGACUACCAGUGCACUGUGAUACAGUUUCUAAGAGUCGAGUUGUUUGGGAAUGCAGCUCAAAGUGGGUGGUAAAUUCCAUCUAAGGCUAAAUAUAGGUGAGAGACCGAUAGCAUACAAGUACCGUGAGGGAAAGAUGAAAAGAACUUUGGAAAGAGAGUUAACAGUACGUGAAAUUGUUGUAAGGGAAACAUUUAAAGUUAGCCUUGUGCUUGUUAGUUCAGCUCUUCAACUAGGGUGUAUUCUAAUGAUGUCACGGACCAACAUCAGUUUUUGGGUGCUGGAUAAGGGUCUUGGAAAUGUAGCAGUUUAGGCUGUGUUAUAGUCCAGGAUUUUUGGAUACAGUGCUUAGGACUGAGGAGAUUUGCAGCAAGCCAGUCACAUGGCCGCCCUUUUCUAAGGGCUCCCCUG